UGGGGAAUCUUGCACAAUGGGGGAAACCCUGAUGCAGCGACGCCGCGUGAGCGAUGAAGGUUUUCGAAUCGUAAAGCUCUGUCCUAUGGGAAGAUAAUGACGGUACCAUAGGAGGAAGCCCCGGCUAACUACGUGCCAGCAGCCGCGGUAAUACGUAGGGGGCGAGCGUUGUCCGGAAUUACUGGGCGUAAAGGGUUCGCAGGCGGCAUGACAAGUCCGAUGUAAAAGGCGAAAGCUCAACUUUCGUAAGCAUCGGAAACUGUCAAGCUUUAGUGAAUGAGAGGCAAGUGGAAUUCCUAGUGUAGCGGUGGAAUGCGUAUAUAUUAGGAGGAAUACCGGUGGCGAAGGCGACUUGCUGGACUUCAACUGACGCUGAGGAACGAAAGCGUGGGUAGCAAACAGG
Molecule: ribosomal RNA, 403 nt
Filed under: bacterium
Lineage: Bacteria
Description: partial 16S ribosomal RNA
Rfam family: Bacterial small subunit ribosomal RNA
Source: RNAcentral